Molecule: small nuclear RNA, 162 nt
Filed under: Dermacentor silvarum
Lineage: Eukaryota; Metazoa; Arthropoda; Arachnida; Ixodida; Ixodidae
Description: U1 spliceosomal RNA
Rfam family: U1 spliceosomal RNA
About the family: U1 is a small nuclear RNA (snRNA) component of the spliceosome (involved in pre-mRNA splicing).
Source: RNAcentral
AUACUUACUUGGUGCUGGACACGCGGUGAUCAUGAAAACCGUGGUCCCGUGCGGAGACCUACCAUUGCACUUAGGUUGGUUGAAGCGCGCCACUUCCCAAAAAAGGGAUAGCUGGAGCAUUUAAUUUUUGGUAGUGGGGCUCGGCGUUCGCGCCAGCCCCUG